RNAcentral lists this ribosomal RNA (253 nucleotides) under uncultured bacterium. RNAcentral's name for it is "partial 16S ribosomal RNA". It matches the Rfam family "Bacterial small subunit ribosomal RNA", at positions 524 to 776 of the family's 1533-position model. The record is from RNAcentral.
UACGGAGGGGACUAGCGUUGUUCGGAAUUACUGGGCGUAAAGCGCACGUAGGCGGAUUUGUAAGUCAGGGGUGAAAUCCCGGGGCUCAACCUCGGAACUGCCUUUGAUACUGCAAAUCUCGAGUCCGGAAGAGGUGAGUGGAAUUCCGAGUGUAGAGGUGAAAUUCGUAGAUAUUCGCAAGAACACCAGUGGCGAAGGCGGCUCACUGGCCCGAUACUGACGCUGAUGCACGAAAGCGUGGGGAACAAACAGG